This 708-nucleotide ribosomal RNA is filed under the name Triticum aestivum (bread wheat). RNAcentral's name for it is "partial small subunit ribosomal RNA". The record is from RNAcentral. Lineage: Eukaryota; Viridiplantae; Streptophyta; Magnoliopsida; Poales; Poaceae.
AUGCUUCAGUCUCACUAUGUGGAAAAGGUCUUGAGUCGUUUUGGGUAUAGCGACUGCACACCUUCUCCAACUCCAUAUGAUGCUAGUGUGUUGCUUCGAAAGAAUCGACGGAUUGCUAGAGAUCAACUGAGAUAUUCUCAGAUUAUUGGCUCGCUUAUGUAUUUGGCGAGUGCCACGAGGCCUGACAUCUCUUUUGCUGUGAGCAAGCUGAGUCGGUUUGUGUCAAAAUCGGGAGAUGAUCAUUGGCAUGCGCUUGAGAGAGUUAUGCGCUGUUUGAAAGGCACCGCGAGCUAUGGGAUUCACUACACCGGGUAUCCAAGGGUACUGGAGGAUUACAGUGACUCAAACUGGAUUUCUGAUGCUGAUGAGAUAAAGGCCACAAGUGGUUAUGUUUUUACACUUGGUGGUGGCGCUGUUUCCUGGAAGUCUUGCAAGCAGACCAUCUUAACGAGGUCAACUAUGGAAGCAGAACUCACAGCAUUGGACACUGCCACUGUUGAAGCAGAGUGGCUUCGUGAACUCUUGAUGGACUUACCUAUGGUUGAAAAACCAAUACCCCCUAUCCUGAUGAACUGUGAUAAUCAAACUGUGAUCGUCAAGAUAAACAGUUCGAAGGACAAUAUGAAGUCCUCUGCUUUUGUGAAGAGGAGACUAAAAUCUGUCAGAAAAUUGAGGAACUCCGGAGUUAUUACGUUGGAUUAUAUCUAA